UCAGCGCCGGGGGCGAGGGCGGCCGGGCUGGCUGAGCCCGGGGGUUCCCUUCCCGCGGGGCUCGCGAGCCUCGCCCUCUGGGUCUUCACCGCCCCCCGGGGCGGGGGCGCCGCCGCCCCCCUCCCGCUCCGGGCGCCGCUUGCUGCGGAACCCGCGGAGGGUGUGGGAAGUUUUGAUUUGGGCCGGGCGGGGUCUGGAGCUCGCUCUCGGCGGUGGUGUGAGGUCACCAUCUCUGGAGCAUUUGAGGAACGUGAAGAAUGCCCGAGACUGAUCGGGGCCGGUGGUGGUUGUGUUGUAGUUUUCUCCUGCGGCCAGCCCUCAGGAAAAUCUCCCUGGAAGGACAACUUGGUAUCACAAAGUUACUUGGUAGGCAUUGGACUCUGAUGAUUUCAAUGGGAGCAUGUUCAGACGCAGAAGCUGGUGUGGGGGUGGCCAGCCCCAGGUAGAUGGCUCCAGCCCAGCUGAUGCCAUCUCCAGCAAGCCCACUGCAGAAAAGCCUUGCUUCCAGACAUGUAUCUGCUGCCUAAAAGGGAGUUUUCUAGACUAAAAAAUCAGUCUUUACCUCAACUAUUAUCUUCUUCUCCUUGAACACAGGUAACUCACAGGAGUGGAUGUUUCUGACAUUACAUGGUAAAAGAGGAGAAAAGAAAACAAAGUCCAAGUAAGUCUUCUGUUUUCCUCGACAGAUUAAAUAUGAAUUAAAAACAAUGCAAAAUAAACUAGUUCAUUCAUUUUCUUUUUCUCUCCUCUCUCUCCUCCACUCCAUUUUCUUAAAGCCUGUAUGUAUCA
Long non-coding RNA from Pipistrellus kuhlii (Kuhl's pipistrelle), 789 nucleotides. RefSeq lists it as uncharacterized. The record is from RefSeq and is a predicted model, not a curated record. NCBI's taxonomy places the organism in Eukaryota, Metazoa, Chordata, Mammalia, Chiroptera, Vespertilionidae. The transcript is spliced from 3 exons.